This 253-nucleotide ribosomal RNA is filed under the name uncultured bacterium. RNAcentral describes it as "partial 16S ribosomal RNA". It matches the Rfam family "Bacterial small subunit ribosomal RNA", at positions 524 to 776 of the family's 1533-position model. The record is from RNAcentral.
UACGGGGGGGGCAAGCGUUGUUCGGAAUCACUGGGCGUAAAGAGUGUGUAGGCGGCGCUCUAAGUUCGGUGUGAAAUCUCUCGGCUUAACUGGGAGGGUGCGCCGGAAACUGGAGUGCUCGAACGUGGGAGAGGAAAGCGGAAUUCCUGGUGUAGCGGUGAAAUGCGUAGAUAUCAGGAGGAACACCGGUGGCGAAGGCGGGUCUCUGGGCCGAUACUGACGCUGAGGAGCGAAAGCGUGGGGAGCGAACAGG